RNAcentral lists this ribosomal RNA (253 nucleotides) under uncultured bacterium. Its description in RNAcentral is "partial 16S ribosomal RNA". It matches the Rfam family "Bacterial small subunit ribosomal RNA", at positions 524 to 776 of the family's 1533-position model. The record is from RNAcentral.
GACAGAGGCCUCAAGCGUUAGGCGGAAUCACUGGGCUUAAAGCGUGUGUAGGCGGAUCGUUAAGUGUCUUGUGAAAUCCCACGGCUCACCCGUGGAACUGCUGGGCAUACUGGCGAUCUUGGGCCAACUAGGGGCAACUGGAACAAGCGGUGGAGCGGUGAAAUGCGUAGAUAUCGCUUGGAACGCCAAAGGUGAAAACAGGCUGCUGGGGUUGUGCCGACGCUGAGACACGAAAGCCAGGGGAGCAAACGGG